RNAcentral lists this ribosomal RNA (394 nucleotides) under uncultured bacterium. RNAcentral's name for it is "bacterial SSU rRNA". It matches the Rfam family "Bacterial small subunit ribosomal RNA", at positions 30 to 425 of the family's 1533-position model. The record is from RNAcentral.
AUUGAACGCUGGCGGCAUGCCUUACACAUGCAAGUCGAACGGCAGCACGGGAGCAAUCCUGGUGGCGAGUAGCGAACGGGUGAGUAAUAUAUCGGAACGUGCCCAGUCGUGGGGAUAACGUAGCGAAAGCUACGCUAAUACCGCAUACGAUCUAUGGAUGAAAGCGGGGGAUCGCAAGACCUCGCGCGAUUGGAGCGGCCGAUAUCAGAUUAGGUAGUUGGUGAGGUAAAGGCUCACCAAGCCGACGAUCUGUAGCUGGUCUGAGAGGACGACCAGCCACACUGGGACUGAGACACGGCCCAGACUCCUACGGGAGGCAGCAGUGGGGAAUUUUGGACAAUGGGCGCAAGCCUGAUCCAGCAAUGCCGCGUGCAGGAUGAAGGCCUUCGGGUUG